GUGCCUGUAUCUGCAUGAGCUCUGGCUAUUAAGCUAGCACGCUAGCAGUUCGGGCUGAGACAGUCCCUUCGAACCUGAUCAGGGUGAUGCCUGCGUAGGGAGCGUGCAUUAUUUUUUCG
RNAcentral lists this non-coding RNA (119 nucleotides) under Medicago truncatula (barrel medic). RNAcentral's name for it is "sRNA gene15784". It matches the Rfam family "TPP riboswitch aptamer (THI element)", at positions 15 to 105 of the family's 105-position model. Rfam says of the family: Vitamin B(1) in its active form thiamin pyrophosphate (TPP) is an essential coenzyme that is synthesised by coupling of pyrimidine and thiazole moieties in bacteria. The previously detected thiamin-regulatory element, thi box was extended, resulting in a new, highly conserved RNA secondary structure, the THI element, which is widely distributed in eubacteria and also occurs in some archaea. Lineage: Eukaryota; Viridiplantae; Streptophyta; Magnoliopsida; Fabales; Fabaceae. The record is from RNAcentral.